This 467-nucleotide ribosomal RNA is filed under the name uncultured bacterium. RNAcentral describes it as "partial 16S ribosomal RNA". It matches the Rfam family "Bacterial small subunit ribosomal RNA", at positions 28 to 507 of the family's 1533-position model. The record is from RNAcentral.
GACGAACGCUGGCGGCGUGCUUAACACAUGCAAGUCGAACGGAAAGACCCUGCUUUUGUGGGGUGCUCGAGUGGCGAACGGGUGAGUAACACGUGAGUAACCUGCCCUUGACUUUGGGAUAACUUCAGGAAACUGGGGCUAAUACCGGAUAGGAGCUCCUGCUGCAUGGUGGGGGUUGGAAAGUUUCGGCGGUUGGGGAUGGACUCGCGGCUUAUCAGCUUGUUGGUGGGGUAGUGGCUUACCAAGGCUUUGACGGGUAGCCGGCCUGAGAGGGUGACCGGCCACAUUGGGACUGAGAUACGGCCAGACUCCUACGGGAGGCAGCAGUGGGGAAUAUUGCACAAUGGGCGGAAGCCUGAUGCAGCAACGCCGCGUGCGGGAUGACGGCCUUCGGGUUGUAAACCGCUUUCGCCUGUGACGAAGCGUGAGUGACGGUAAUGGGUAAAGAAGCACCGGCUAACUACGUG